This 420-nucleotide ribosomal RNA is filed under the name uncultured bacterium. RNAcentral's name for it is "bacterial SSU rRNA". It matches the Rfam family "Bacterial small subunit ribosomal RNA", at positions 359 to 776 of the family's 1533-position model. The record is from RNAcentral.
GAAUAUUGGACAAUGGGCGAGAGCCUGAUCCAGCCAUGCCGCGUGCAGGAAGACUGCCCUAUGGGUUGUAAACUGCUUUUAUACGGGAAGAAACAUCCCCUCGUGAGGGGACUUGACGGUACCGUAAGAAUAAGGAUCGGCUAACUCCGUGCCCGCAGCCGCGGUAAUACGGAGGAUCCAAGCGUUAUCCGGAAUCAUUGGGUUUAAAGGGUCCGUAGGCGGGCAGCUAAGUCAGUGGUGAAAGUCUGCAGCUCAACUGUAGAAUUGCCAUUGAUACUGGUUGUCUUGAAUUAUUAUGAAGUGGUUAGAAUAAGUAGUGUAGCGGUGAAAUGCAUAGAUAUUACUUAGAAUACCAAUUGCGAAGGCAGAUCACUAAUAAUAUAUUGACGCUGAUGGACGAAAGCGUGGGGAGCGAACAGG